RNAcentral lists this ribosomal RNA (272 nucleotides) under Bacillus sp. KC4.1. RNAcentral describes it as "partial 16S ribosomal RNA". It matches the Rfam family "Bacterial small subunit ribosomal RNA", at positions 95 to 357 of the family's 1533-position model. Lineage: Bacteria; Bacillati; Bacillota; Bacilli; Caryophanales; Bacillaceae. The record is from RNAcentral.
GCGGCGGACGGGUGAGUAACACGUGGGUAACCUGCCCAUAAGACUGGGAUAACUCCGGGAAACCGGGGCUAAUACCGGAUAACAUUUUGAACCGCAUGGUUCGAAAUUGAAAGGCGGCUUCGGCUGUCACUUAUGGAUGGACCCGCGUCGCAUUAGCUAGUUGGUGAGGUAACGGCUCACCAAGGCAACGAUGCGUAGCCGACCUGAGAGGGUGAUCGGCCACACUGGGACUGAGACACGGCCCAGACUCCUACGGGAGGCAGCAGUGGUCA